UAUUUAUCUUCCUUUUCAUUAAGAAAUGUUAUGAAAUUGAUGCUUUUAGUUGGUUUCCAAUUGUUUCUGUUAUUUGUGUUGGUGUCGUCGCAGGAAGAACAUUCAUUUCACGAUUACUUUUGGUAUUUGUUUGUAAGACAUAGAACAACCUCGACAUAUUGAGCCAUGAGACUUCGGGUCCUAACUUGUGGUUCUUACAUUCAACUUGUCGUGGUAAUUGAAGCAAAUCACUUUCCCUUGGUGUAGUAGAGAAGUUAGAAAAAAAAAAGUGAACAAUUCUGAUUCUAUCUCCUACUAGCUGUGUGAACUAAAAUCACUUAACUUCUUGGAGUAAAAAUAAUUUAGAUGAAUAGCUUGUAUCUCCCAGGGUUGUGAGGUUAAAAUUAAUAAUACGUUAAAAAUGCCCUGCAUGUAGAUGCUUAAUAGACACCGUUUCCCUCCCCUGCCACCUGAACUGAGACACAGACAAAUGAUGGGACGAAGCAAGAAUAGACGCCUGCUAUCUAUCUAUCUAUCUAUCUAUCUUCUAUCUAUCUAUCUAUCUAUCUAUCUAUCUAUCUAUCUAUCUACCUCUGUAUCUAUCAUAUAUUUACCAGAAAACCUUGUUCUCAAAUCUAGAACACCGAUGCACAAAAUAGAUACAAUGGAGCUGCUCUGGAAAACCAAAUCACAUCAGCAGUUUUCAUACCCACAACUCAAUGGCCUGAGCAAGUCACCUGGUUUGUCAGACUAGCAGAGCUCUACAAGCUGCCACAAUAGAUGUGCAUUCAGUGAGAGGACCGCAGUUGUAAAUGUAAUCGGUUUACCAUGGAUGGCUAACCACACUCACAGAGUAUCGAUUUUUCUAAUUUAAUCCUCAGAAGACAUCAUGUUGCUUUUAUGUAUUGAUGCCUGAUUUCCUCCAUGCUACCUUGGCCUCAGAGAGGAAUUUUGCUGGUCUUCUACUGCCUGUGAGUCGGGAGGAAAGAAGAGGAAGCUAACCUGACUAAAGCUUGCUCACUGUGUCUUUGAAGAAGGUUGCAGAUUCUAAUCCAGACACAGGAGUUGAAUCUGAUGGAUUUUUGUCAUUUGCAACCAAGGAUCCUGACUAAUAUAGACAGAAAGAUUGACAACCAGGACUAAGAAAGGAAACUGAAGAAAGGUGACAAGAUGGAUUCUGCUCAGAAAACUGGGUUUAUGGAUUAAAAAACAGCUUUACUGUCAUCUUACUCAUACAUUUGCUAAGACUCUGCCUGAUGUUUAUAGAGG
Molecule: long non-coding RNA, 1248 nt
Filed under: Equus caballus (horse)
Lineage: Eukaryota; Metazoa; Chordata; Mammalia; Perissodactyla; Equidae
Description: lncRNA (ENSECAG00000053645.1)
Source: RNAcentral